Molecule: ribosomal RNA, 2921 nt
Filed under: Staphylococcus aureus subsp. aureus PS187
Lineage: Bacteria; Bacillati; Bacillota; Bacilli; Caryophanales; Staphylococcaceae
Description: bacterial LSU rRNA
Rfam family: Bacterial large subunit ribosomal RNA
Source: RNAcentral
UUAAGUUAUUAAGGGCGCACGGUGGAUGCCUUGGCACUAGAAGCCGAUGAAGGACGUUACUAACGACGAUAUGCUUUGGGGAGCUGUAAGUAAGCUUUGAUCCAGAGAUUUCCGAAUGGGGAAACCCAGCAUGAGUUAUGUCAUGUUAUCGAUAUGUGAAUACAUAGCAUAUCAGAAGGCACACCCGGAGAACUGAAACAUCUUAGUACCCGGAGGAAGAGAAAGAAAAUUCGAUUCCCUUAGUAGCGGCGAGCGAAACGGGAAGAGCCCAAACCAACAAGCUUGCUUGUUGGGGUUGUAGGACACUCUAUACGGAGUUACAAAGGACGACAUUAGACGAAUCAUCUGGAAAGAUGAAUCAAAGAAGGUAAUAAUCCUGUAGUCGAAAAUGUUGUCUCUCUUGAGUGGAUCCUGAGUACGACGGAGCACGUGAAAUUCCGUCGGAAUCUGGGAGGACCAUCUCCUAAGGCUAAAUACUCUCUAGUGACCGAUAGUGAACCAGUACCGUGAGGGAAAGGUGAAAAGCACCCCGGAAGGGGAGUGAAAUAGAACCUGAAACCGUGUGCUUACAAGUAGUCAGAGCCCGUUAAUGGGUGAUGGCGUGCCUUUUGUAGAAUGAACCGGCGAGUUACGAUUUGAUGCAAGGUUAAGCAGUAAAUGUGGAGCCGUAGCGAAAGCGAGUCUGAAUAGGGCGUUUAGUAUUUGGUCGUAGACCCGAAACCAGGUGAUCUACCCUUGGUCAGGUUGAAGUUCAGGUAACACUGAAUGGAGGACCGAACCGACUUACGUUGAAAAGUGAGCGGAUGAACUGAGGGUAGCGGAGAAAUUCCAAUCGAACCUGGAGAUAGCUGGUUCUCUCCGAAAUAGCUUUAGGGCUAGCCUCAAGUGAUGAUUAUUGGAGGUAGAGCACUGUUUGGACGAGGGGCCCCUCUCGGGUUACCGAAUUCAGACAAACUCCGAAUGCCAAUUAAUUUAACUUGGGAGUCAGAACAUGGGUGAUAAGGUCCGUGUUCGAAAGGGAAACAGCCCAGACCACCAGCUAAGGUCCCAAAAUAUAUGUUAAGUGGAAAAGGAUGUGGCGUUGCCCAGACAACUAGGAUGUUGGCUUAGAAGCAGCCAUCAUUUAAAGAGUGCGUAAUAGCUCACUAGUCGAGUGACACUGCGCCGAAAAUGUACCGGGGCUAAACAUAUUACCGAAGCUGUGGAUUGUCCUUUGGACAAUGGUAGGAGAGCGUUCUAAGGGCGUUGAAGCAUGAUCGUAAGGACAUGUGGAGCGCUUAGAAGUGAGAAUGCCGGUGUGAGUAGCGAAAGACGGGUGAGAAUCCCGUCCACCGAUUGACUAAGGUUUCCAGAGGAAGGCUCGUCCGCUCUGGGUUAGUCGGGUCCUAAGCUGAGGCCGACAGGCGUAGGCGAUGGAUAACAGGUUGAUAUUCCUGUACCACCUAUAAUCGUUUUAAUCGAUGGGGGGACGCAGUAGGAUAGGCGAAGCGUGCGAUUGGAUUGCACGUCUAAGCAGUAAGGCUGAGUAUUAGGCAAAUCCGGUACUCGUUAAGGCUGAGCUGUGAUGGGGAGAAGACAUUGUGUCUUCGAGUCGUUGAUUUCACACUGCCGAGAAAAGCCUCUAGAUAGAAAAUAGGUGCCCGUACCGCAAACCGACACAGGUAGUCAAGAUGAGAAUUCUAAGGUGAGCGAGCGAACUCUCGUUAAGGAACUCGGCAAAAUGACCCCGUAACUUCGGGAGAAGGGGUGCUCUUUAGGGUUAACGCCCAGAAGAGCCGCAGUGAAUAGGCCCAAGCGACUGUUUAUCAAAAACACAGGUCUCUGCUAAACCGUAAGGUGAUGUAUAGGGGCUGACGCCUGCCCGGUGCUGGAAGGUUAAGAGGAGUGGUUAGCUUCUGCGAAGCUACGAAUCGAAGCCCCAGUAAACGGCGGCCGUAACUAUAACGGUCCUAAGGUAGCGAAAUUCCUUGUCGGGUAAGUUCCGACCCGCACGAAAGGCGUAACGAUUUGGGCACUGUCUCAACGAGAGACUCGGUGAAAUCAUAGUACCUGUGAAGAUGCAGGUUACCCGCGACAGGACGGAAAGACCCCGUGGAGCUUUACUGUAGCCUGAUAUUGAAAUUCGGCACAGCUUGUACAGGAUAGGUAGGAGCCUUUGAAACGUGAGCGCUAGCUUACGUGGAGGCGCUGGUGGGAUACUACCCUAGCUGUGUUGGCUUUCUAACCCGCACCACUUAUCGUGGUGGGAGACAGUGUCAGGCGGGCAGUUUGACUGGGGCGGUCGCCUCCUAAAAGGUAACGGAGGCGCUCAAAGGUUCCCUCAGAAUGGUUGGAAAUCAUUCAUAGAGUGUAAAGGCAUAAGGGAGCUUGACUGCGAGACCUACAAGUCGAGCAGGGUCGAAAGACGGACUUAGUGAUCCGGUGGUUCCGCAUGGAAGGGCCAUCGCUCAACGGAUAAAAGCUACCCCGGGGAUAACAGGCUUAUCUCCCCCAAGAGUUCACAUCGACGGGGAGGUUUGGCACCUCGAUGUCGGCUCAUCGCAUCCUGGGGCUGUAGUCGGUCCCAAGGGUUGGGCUGUUCGCCCAUUAAAGCGGUACGCGAGCUGGGUUYAGAACGUCGUGAGACAGUUCGGUCCCUAUCCGUCGUGGGCGUAGGAAAUUUGAGAGGAGCUGUCCUUAGUACGAGAGGACCGGGAUGGACAUACCUCUGGUGUACCAGUUGUCGUGCCAACGGCAUMGCUGGGUAGCUAUGUGUGGACGGGAUAAGUGCUGAAAGCAUCUAAGCAUGAAGCCCCCCUCAAGAUGAGAUUUCCCAACUUCGGUUAUAAGAUCCCUCAAAGAUGAUGAGGUUAAUAGGUUCGAGGUGGAAGCAUGGUGACAUGUGGAGCUGACGAAUACUAAUCGAUCGAAGACUUAAUCAA